Molecule: microRNA precursor, 211 nt
Filed under: Oryza glumipatula
Lineage: Eukaryota; Viridiplantae; Streptophyta; Magnoliopsida; Poales; Poaceae
Description: MIR812 microRNA precursor family
Rfam family: MIR812 microRNA precursor family
Source: Rfam by way of RNAcentral
AAUAAGUGCAGCCAUAUAUAUUCGUGUUUAGCGCUUUGACCAUCCGUCUUAUUUAAAAAAUUUAUAAAAAAUAUUAAAAAAAUUAGUCACACAUAAAGUACUAUUCAUGUUUUAUCAUCUAAUAACAAUAAAAAUACUAAUCAUAAUCUUUUUUUUAAAUAAGACGAACGGUCAAACGAUGAAUAUGAACAGUGCUAAAACUGCACUUAUU